This 479-nucleotide long non-coding RNA is filed under the name Bos taurus (domestic cattle). RNAcentral's name for it is "long non-coding RNA NONBTAT028732". The record is from RNAcentral. Lineage: Eukaryota; Metazoa; Chordata; Mammalia; Artiodactyla; Bovidae.
GGAAUAAAGGAGCUUGUGCCCAUUUUCCUGCGGGAAAACUGAAGCAGUGAGAGGCUCAAGGAGAGGGAGGUCUUGGCCAGGAUCCCGAAUCAAGUCAGAAAUGGGACUCAGGCAUCGAGAUGGCAGCCACAUGGGACAACUGAGUAAUGGGCCAUGACUAGUCUUAGCUGAGAUAAGCUAUGGCUGUAAAACACCAGAUUCUGAAGACUUCAGUGCUGCAUUAGGUCAUAGACCACGAAAUGGACAAGAUCACUGGAGAGUUCGUGUGAUUAGAAAGGUGGUCAGAAGACCUGAGUCAAAUUGAAGAGUUGGGUGUCUCUAAUGAGGCCGCAAUGAUUCUGCUAAAACCAGCACUGGCAAGAGGCCCCCAGUCUCAGGUGAGACUGAAGCUGAGACCUUGAUAGCAGCAUAGUCAUACCCUGAGCCAAGCACCCUGCUAAGCUGCACCCGUGCCCCUGACACACAGAGACUGAGAUUAA